UAUGCUACUGAGCGGUAGCCUGCCUCCUGGCCACUGUUGGUGGUCGGAGCCGAUGAUCCUUCUUUAUUUCGGUCUGUAGUGUGUGGUCCACAACACCAGUGACCACCAUACAUACGGCUCGGUGUCUCUCUCAUUCUAAGGCUUUCUAUAGGUGGGUCAAGCGUACUGCAAAGGCUUCCGAGGGUCUUCUGGAGUGGAGGUUGUUUUUUCAAGGGGGUCAAGAGUCUUUCCUGGCUGCUGGCUGGCUGGUGAGUGAGAGGAAAAGAACUCAUGGCGUCCGGAAUCUUAAAUUUGCUCGCUCCUGUGCGCCGCGCGGUGGUGUCGAGUGUCGUCAAAAGCGGGUCUGUGUGUGAAGGAGGGCUUUUCUUCGCUCGCUCUCUUGUCUCUUGGAGCGAGCAAAACUUUUCCCGCGAGAAGAGAGGUAUGGAUUGUUUUACGAUUCUUUUCACUGGCGAGAUUGUGAGAUCGCCGACACUCUGGAUUAAAAUUCUUGGCAGUGUCGUCCAAUCGUUGCCAUACAACCAGGCUUGAACAAAGAAUGUCCUGUGGAUUUUCUUUUGGAGAGAAUGUCCUUGUUUACAAAGUUUGGUGUCAUCGUCUCCGCGGCGACGUUGGGAUUUGGGCCAAAACGCGGCCGCGAAAGUCAAUCGGGCAUGUCAGACAGGAAUCUACAAAUUACUGUGUGCAAAUCUUUCGAGUUUAUCACGUUUUUUUACUCUCCCCGAGAUCACCGCGAA
This is a long non-coding RNA of Selaginella moellendorffii, 737 nucleotides long. RefSeq lists it as uncharacterized. Lineage: Eukaryota; Viridiplantae; Streptophyta; Lycopodiopsida; Selaginellales; Selaginellaceae. The transcript has 5 exons. The record is from RefSeq and is a predicted model, not a curated record.